This 214-nucleotide ribosomal RNA is filed under the name Paracanthurus hepatus (palette surgeonfish). RNAcentral's name for it is "partial 16S ribosomal RNA". The record is from RNAcentral. Lineage: Eukaryota; Metazoa; Chordata; Actinopteri; Acanthuriformes; Acanthuridae.
GCCUAAUAGCUAGCCCUAUAAAUCAAAUACAAUAAGUCUAUAUUAAUAACCCCUAAUAUCCUAACGAUAUACCAAACAAACCAUUUUUCCCCCUCAGUAUAGGUGAUAGAAAAGGAAGCAUGGAGCGACAGAGAAAGUACCGCAAGGGAACGCUGAAAGAGAACUGAAACAACCCAGUGAAGCCGAGAAAAGCAGAGAUUUAACCUCGUACCUU